This 377-nucleotide unclassified non-coding RNA is filed under the name plant metagenome. RNAcentral describes it as "partial contains 5.8S ribosomal RNA, internal transcribed spacer 2, and large subunit ribosomal RNA". The stretch from base 1 to 104 matches the Rfam family "5.8S ribosomal RNA", at positions 51 to 154 of the family's 154-position model. The record is from RNAcentral.
AAAUGCGAUAAGUAAUGUGAAUUGCAGAAUUCAGUGAAUCAUCGAAUCUUUGAACGCACCUUGCGCUCCUUGGUAUUCCUUGGAGCAUGCCUGUUUGAGUAUCAUGAAAUCUUCAAAGUAAAUCUUUUGUUAACUCAAUUGGUUUCUACUUUGGUAUUGGAGGUCUUUGCAGCUUCACACCUGCUCCUCUUUGUUCAUUAGCUGGAUCUCAGUGUUAUGCUUGGUUCCACUCGGCGUGAUAAGUUAUCUAUCGCUGAGGACACUGUAAAAGGUGGCCAAGGUAAAUGCAGAUGAACCGCUUCUAAUAGUCCAUUGACUUGGACAAUACUUUUAUGAUCUGAUCUCAAAUCACGUAGGACUACCCGCUGAACUUAAGC